UCCUCGAUAGCUCAGCGGUAGAGCAGUUGACUGUUAAUCAAUUGGUCGCAGGUUCGAAUCCUGCUCGAGGAGCCA
RNAcentral lists this transfer RNA (75 nucleotides) under Alphaproteobacteria bacterium. Its description in RNAcentral is "tRNA-Asn". It matches the Rfam family "tRNA". From Rfam's summary of the family: Transfer RNA (tRNA) molecules are approximately 80 nucleotides in length. Their secondary structure includes four short double-helical elements and three loops (D, anti-codon, and T loops). Further hydrogen bonds mediate the characteristic L-shaped molecular structure. tRNAs have two regions of fundamental functional importance: the anti-codon, which is responsible for specific mRNA codon recognition, and the 3' end, to which the tRNAs corresponding amino acid is attached (by aminoacyl-tRNA synthetases). tRNAs cope with the degeneracy of the genetic code in two manners: having more than one tRNA (with a specific anti-codon) for a particular amino acid; and 'wobble' base-pairing, i.e. permitting non-standard base-pairing at the 3rd anti-codon position. RNAcentral also lists the same sequence under 1 other name. The record is from RNAcentral. Lineage: Bacteria; Pseudomonadati; Pseudomonadota; Alphaproteobacteria.